This 279-nucleotide ribosomal RNA is filed under the name uncultured bacterium. RNAcentral describes it as "partial 16S ribosomal RNA". It matches the Rfam family "Bacterial small subunit ribosomal RNA", at positions 506 to 784 of the family's 1533-position model. The record is from RNAcentral.
UGCCAGCCGCCGCGGUAAUACGGAGGGGGCUAGCGUUAUUCGGAAUUAUUGGGCGUAAAGGGCGUGUAGGCGGCUUCGUGUGUCUUCUGUGAAAGCCCUCGGCUCAACCGAGGAACUGCAGGGGAAACUGCGGAGCUCGAGUCCGGGAGAGGAGGGCGGAAUUCCCAGUGUAGCGGUGAAAUGCGUAGAUAUUGGGAGGAACACCAGUGGCGAAGGCGGCUCUCUGGACCGGUACUGACGCUGAGACGCGAAAGCUAGGGGAGCAAACGGGAUUAGAUA